This 811-nucleotide ribosomal RNA is filed under the name uncultured marine bacterium. Its description in RNAcentral is "bacterial SSU rRNA". It matches the Rfam family "Bacterial small subunit ribosomal RNA", at positions 56 to 916 of the family's 1533-position model. The record is from RNAcentral.
UGCAGUCGAACGAAGUAGCAAUACUUAGUGGCAGACGGGUGAGUAACAUGUGGGUAUCUUCCCUUUGGCCUGGAAUAACACGAGGAAACUUGUGCUAAUACCGGAUAAGCCUUUACGGAGAAAGCUUUAUGCACCAUUGGAUGAGCCCGCACUUGAUUAGUUUGUUGGUAGGGUAAUGGCAUACCAAGACUGUGAUCAAUAGCUGAUUUGAGAGGAUGAUCAGCCACAUUGGGACUGAGACACGGCCCAAACUCCUACGGGAGGCAGCAGUGGGGAAUCUUGCACAAUGGAGGAAACUCUGAUGCAGCGAUGCCGCGUGAGUGAAGAAGGCCCUUGGGUUGUAAAGCUCUUUCGUCGGGGAAGAAAAUGACUGUACCCGAAUAAGAAGGUCCGGCUAACUUCGUGCCAGCAGCCGCGGUAAUACGAAGGGACCUAGCGUAGUUCGGAAUUACUGGGCUUAAAGAGUUCGUAGGUGGUUGAAAAAGUUGGUGGUGAAAUCCCAGAGCUUAACUCUGGAACUGCCAUCAAAACUUUUCAGCUAGAGUUUGAUAGAGGAAAGCAGAAUUUCUAGUGUAGAGGUGAAAUUCGUAGAUAUUAGAAAGAAUACCAAUUGCGAAGGCAGCUUUCUGGAUCAUUACUGACACUGAGGAACGAAAGCAUGGGUAGCGAAGAGGAUUAGAUACCCUCGUAGUCCAUGCCGUAAACGAUGUGUGUUAGACGUUGGAAAUUUAUUUUCAGUGUCGCAGCGAAAGCGAUAAACACACCGCCUGGGGAGUACGACCGCGAGGUUAAAACUCAAAUGAAUUGACGG